AAAAACAUUGACAGGUCAGGGAAUCAGCCUCAACAUCCUUCAUCAGUGAUUUAAAAACAUUGACAGGUCAGGGAAUCAGCCUCAACAUCCUUCAUCAGUGAUUUAAAGACAUUGACAGGUCAGGGAAUCAGCCUCAACAUCCUUCAUCAGUGAUUUAAAAACAUUGACAGGUCAGGGAAUCAGUCUCAACAUCCUUCAUCAGUGAUUUA
Long non-coding RNA from Oncorhynchus keta (chum salmon), 209 nucleotides. RefSeq lists it as uncharacterized. The record is from RefSeq and is a predicted model, not a curated record. NCBI's taxonomy places the organism in Eukaryota, Metazoa, Chordata, Actinopteri, Salmoniformes, Salmonidae. The transcript is spliced from 3 exons.